UGGGGAAUCUUGGACAAUGGGCGCAAGCCUGAUCCAGCCAUGCCGCGUGAGUGAAGAAGGCCUUAGGGUUGUAAAACUCUUUCGCCGGAGAAGAUAAUGACGGUAUCCGGAGAAGAAGCCCCGGCUAACUUCGUGCCAGCAGCCGCGGUAAUACGAAGGGGGCUAGCGUUGUUCGGAAUUACUGGGCGUAAAGCGCACGUAGGCGGGUUUGUAAGUAGGGGGUGAAAUCCCAGGGCUCAACCCUGGAACU
This 250-nucleotide ribosomal RNA is filed under the name uncultured bacterium. Its description in RNAcentral is "partial 16S ribosomal RNA". It matches the Rfam family "Bacterial small subunit ribosomal RNA", at positions 355 to 622 of the family's 1533-position model. The record is from RNAcentral.